RNAcentral lists this long non-coding RNA (851 nucleotides) under Gallus gallus (chicken). RNAcentral describes it as "lncRNA (ENSGALG00010027560.1)". The record is from RNAcentral. Lineage: Eukaryota; Metazoa; Chordata; Aves; Galliformes; Phasianidae.
CAGCCAUCACUUUUGACGAGGAAGGAAAGUUCACUGCUUUUCCAGGGAGGAAAGGACACAGGAGGCUCAGGGUGAGGUGGGACGCCCUCAGCUAGAGCAAUGGCGGUGCUUGGGGCCGCGUGCCGACCAUCCUCUGUGCCACCACAACCUGCCCGUGUCCCUGGACGGCCUCAAUGAACCUCAUCCAACACCCAAAACUCUUUUAUUAAAAAAAAAAAAAAAAUCUUCCUUCCCUCAAUUAGAGGCAAAGGGAAAAAAAAAAGAAGAAUUGGGGUCAACGCGAAGCAGCCGUAUUUUAGCCGUCCUUUGGGAGCCGAUCUGCGCUCACACUGUGGGUGUUCUCAUUGCACACACUGAACAGGAGACGUUUUCCCUUAGUAGGACAGGCUCUGUGCUGCAGCCCUUCUCGCCCGGCCAUAAAAGGGCAGCGAUUUCGGUGCGACCCCCGGGCCCUCCCGGCCUGGUCGGCCGCAUCCCGGCGCUGCUGCUUCCAACCUCCUCGCCUUUGGCUCGCUCUUCUCUCACGCCUUUUGUUUUGUCUCUCUCCUCCUCUCUGGAGGCUGCAGGGAUUGAGGCCAGAGAGCCUCCAGGAAUGUUCUUGCCUUCCCUAUUUUUUUUUUUUCCCCUCUCUCUCUCUCUCUCUUGGCCUGAUGUGAUCCCUGCCUUUCCAUGCUCCCUGUGCCUGCCCAGAAAAUCAGUUGCUGGGUGAAAACCAGUUGCUGGGCCAGCAGUACAUCCCCAAAGGGUCGGCUGUCCCCCUUCAUCCUGUGGGUGAGGCCCUGCCCACCUGCAGGGCUCUUCCACCCCCUGCUCCGCUCUGUGCUGCGGCCUGAUUGGGUGCUGCCAUGUCA